GUCCACGCGGUAAACGAUGAAUACUAGGUGUGGGUGGAGUGAAAUCCAUCUGUGCCGAAGCAAACGCGCUAAGUAUUCCGCCUGGGGAGUACGGCCGCAAGGCUAAAACUCAAAGGAAUUGACGGGGGCCCGCACAAGCAGCGGAGCGUGUGGUUUAAUUCGAUGCGACACGAAGAACCUUACCUGGGUUUGACAUCUGCGUAGUAGUGAACUGAAAGGGGAACGACUCUUCGGAGAGCGCAGACAGGUGCUGCAUGGCUGUCGU
This 265-nucleotide ribosomal RNA is filed under the name uncultured bacterium. Its description in RNAcentral is "partial 16S ribosomal RNA". It matches the Rfam family "Bacterial small subunit ribosomal RNA", at positions 793 to 1055 of the family's 1533-position model. The record is from RNAcentral.